RNAcentral lists this ribosomal RNA (508 nucleotides) under uncultured bacterium. RNAcentral's name for it is "partial 16S ribosomal RNA". It matches the Rfam family "Bacterial small subunit ribosomal RNA", at positions 28 to 523 of the family's 1533-position model. The record is from RNAcentral.
GAUGAACGCUAGCUACAGGCUUAACACAUGCAAGUCGAGGGGAAACGAUAGAGAAAGCUUGCUUUUUCUAGGCGUCGACCGGCGCACGGGUGAGUAACGCGUAUCCAACCUGCCCAUCACUGGGGGAUAACCUUGCGAAAGUAAGACUAAUACCCAAUGACGUCCAUAGAAGACAUCUGAAAGGGAUUAAAGAUUUAUCGGUGAUGGAUGGGGAUGCGUCUGAUUAGCUUGUUGGCGGGGUAACGGCCCACCAAGGCGACGAUCAGUAGGGGUUCUGAGAGGAAGGUCCCCCACAUUGGAACUGAGACACGGUCCAAACUCCUACGGGAGGAAGCAGUGAGGAAUAUUGGUCAAUGGGCGAGAGCCUGAACCAGCCAAGUAGCGUGCAGGAUGACGGCCCUAUGGGUUGUAAACUGCUUUUAUAAGGGAAUAAAGUGAGCCUCGUGAGGCUUUUUGCAUGUACCUUAUGAAUAAGGACCGGCUAAUUCCGUGCCAGCAGCCGCCGUAA